This 1356-nucleotide ribosomal RNA is filed under the name Staphylococcus aureus. RNAcentral's name for it is "partial 23S ribosomal RNA". It matches the Rfam family "Bacterial large subunit ribosomal RNA", at positions 103 to 1461 of the family's 2925-position model. The record is from RNAcentral. Lineage: Bacteria; Bacillati; Bacillota; Bacilli; Caryophanales; Staphylococcaceae.
UCCAGAGAUUUCCGAAUGGGGAAACCCAGCAUGAGUUAUGUCAUGUUAUCGAUAUGUGAAUACAUAGCAUAUCAGAAGGCACACCCGGAGAACUGAAACAUCUUAGUACCCGGAGGAAGAGAAAGAAAAUUCGAUUCCCUUAGUAGCGGCGAGCGAAAUGGGAAGAGCCCAAACCAACAAGCUUGCUUGUUGGGGUUGUAGGACACUCUAUACGGAGUUACAAAGGACGACAUUAGACGAAUCAUCUGGAAAGAUGAAUCAAAGAAGGUAAUAAUCCUGUAGUCGAAAAUGUUGUCUCUCUUGAGUGGAUCCUGAGUACGACGGAGCACGUGAAAUUCCGUCGGAAUCUGGGAGGACCAUCUCCUAAGGCUAAAUACUCUCUAGUGACCGAUAGUGAACCAGUACCGUGAGGGAAAGGUGAAAAGCACCCCGGAAGGGGAGUGAAAUAGAACCUGAAACCGUGUGCUUACAAGUAGUCAGAGCCCGUUAAUGGGUGAUGGCGUGCCUUUUGUAGAAUGAACCGGCGAGUUACGAUUUGAUGCAAGGUUAAGCAGUAAAUGUGGAGCCGUAGCGAAAGCGAGUCUGAAUAGGGCGUUUAGUAUUUGGUCGUAGACCCGAAACCAGGUGAUCUACCCUUGGUCAGGUUGAAGUUCAGGUAACACUGAAUGGAGGACCGAACCGACUUACGUUGAAAAGUGAGCGGAUGAACUGAGGGUAGCGGAGAAAUUCCAAUCGAACCUGGAGAUAGCUGGUUCUCUCCGAAAUAGCUUUAGGGCUAGCCUCAAGUGAUGAUUAUUGGAGGUAGAGCACUGUUUGGACGAGGGGCCCCUCUCGGGUUACCGAAUUCAGACAAACUCCGAAUGCCAAUUAAUUUAACUUGGGAGUCAGAACAUGGGUGAUAAGGUCCGUGUUCGAAAGGGAAACAGCCCAGACCACCAGCUAAGGUCCCAAAAUAUAUGUUAAGUGGAAAAGGAUGUGGCGUUGCCCAGACAACUAGGAUGUUGGCUUAGAAGCAGCCAUCAUUUAAAGAGUGCGUAAUAGCUCACUAGUCGAGUGACACUGCGCCGAAAAUGUACCGGGGCUAAACAUAUUACCGAAGCUGUGGAUUGUCCUUUGGACAAUGGUAGGAGAGCGUUCUAAGGGCGUUGAAGCAUGAUCGUAAGGACAUGUGGAGCGCUUAGAAGUGAGAAUGCCGGUGUGAGUAGCGAAAGACGGGUGAGAAUCCCGUCCACCGAUUGACUAAGGUUUCCAGAGGAAGGCUCGUCCGCUCUGGGUUAGUCGGGUCCUAAGCUGAGGCCGACAGGCGUAGGCGAUGGAUAACAGGUUGAUAUUCCUGUACCACCUAUAAUCGUUUUA